GUGGAGCAUGUGGCUUAAUUUGACUCAACGCGGGAAAUCUUACCGGGUCCGGACACACUGAGGAUUGACAGAUAUACGCUGCGUUAUGUCCUUCGGGACUGCGUGGCUCAAAGAUGCUAGUUCUUUCAUGAUUAUGUGAUAGGUGGUGCAUGGCCGUUCUUAGUUCGUGGAGUGAUCUGUCUGCUUAAUUGCGUAUCAAUAAUAGAGACCUAGUAUACGUGCAUUACUCAUGUGGUAGUGACCCCCUCUUCGCGGAGGCGCGUGUCGCACAUAUGGUAUGCGCACUGGUCUCAGAUAGCAACGAACGUGACCGUAUUCUAUUGUUGCAGUGAAUUAUACGUGCUGCUCUUUACCGAGUUAGUUACAUCCCACUGCUUAGUGUGCGCGGCGUAUUUCGGUACUCGCGUCACACAUUAAACUAUAGAGACCGCUGUUUCUUCUUUAAACCAGAGGAAGGAUAC
Molecule: ribosomal RNA, 461 nt
Filed under: Ammonia sp. T15
Lineage: Eukaryota; Foraminifera; Rotaliida; Rotaliidae
Description: SSU rRNA
Rfam family: Eukaryotic small subunit ribosomal RNA
Source: RNAcentral